UAAGGAAUAUUGGUCAAUGGACGAAAGUCUGAACCAGCCAUGCCGCGUGAGGGAUGAAGGUCCUCUGGAUUGUAAACCUCUUUUAUCUAUGAAGAAAUGUCCUGUUUCUACGGGAUUUGACGGUAAUAGAUGAAUAAGCACCGGCUAACUCCGUGCCAGCAGCCGCGGUAAUACGGAGGGUGCAAGCGUUAUCCGGAUUUACUGGGUUUAAAGGGUGCGUAGGUGGGUUGGUAAGUCAGUGGUGAAAUACUUUCGCUUAACGAAGGAACUGCCAUUGAUACUACCAGUCUUGAAUACAGUGGAGGUAGGCGGAAUGCGUCAUGUAGCGGUGAAAUGCUUAGAUAUGACGCAGAACACCAAUUGCGAAGGCAGCUUGCUACACUGUUAUUGACACUGAGGCACGAAAGCGUGGGGAUCAAACAG
This 423-nucleotide ribosomal RNA is filed under the name uncultured bacterium. RNAcentral describes it as "bacterial SSU rRNA". It matches the Rfam family "Bacterial small subunit ribosomal RNA", at positions 355 to 775 of the family's 1533-position model. The record is from RNAcentral.